Molecule: small RNA, 486 nt
Filed under: Pongo abelii (Sumatran orangutan)
Lineage: Eukaryota; Metazoa; Chordata; Mammalia; Primates; Hominidae
Description: retained intron
Source: RNAcentral
GAUUGCCCGCCUGCCCGUGGGUCAUGGCCUGCCAGCAGUCGCGGUACCACAGCUUCUCGUCCGCGUCGAGGUACGCGCUGGCAGGGAUGAGGGCAGAGAGGAGGGUUUGAGUACUUCUAGAGAGGGAAAUGGCACUUGAUCCGGACUUCGGCACCUCCUGCUGGCCUCUGACCAUUGAUCUAGGGCUCCAGCACCACAGAGUCAAUGGUUGCAGGAACGGUUGGAAUCAGGCUGAUUUAGCCCAGUGAAGACGUUACAUGCUAGCAAAAGGAGACGAGGUUUCACCACGUUGCCCAGGCUGGUUUCGAACUCCUAGACUCAAGCGACCCUCCCACUUCGACCUCUCAAACUGGGAUUACAAGCGUGAACCCCCACACCCGGCCUACAUUACAGCCACGGCCUUCAGGAGUGACCAUAGACGAAUCCUUUCUCACAGAAGACAAGAGCACCCAGAAUCGCAAGCUUCUUCAGAAACGAAGGACACUG